This 23-nucleotide non-coding RNA is filed under the name Arabidopsis thaliana (thale cress). Lineage: Eukaryota; Viridiplantae; Streptophyta; Magnoliopsida; Brassicales; Brassicaceae. The record is from RNAcentral.
GGACACGAGAAGAAGAGGUGGUC